UCUAUGCUAAGCUGAAAGGCGACGUAUAUGGGCUGACACCUGCCCAGUGCUGGAAGGUUAAGAGGAGGAUUGAGAGAUUCAAAUUGAAGCCCCAGUGAACGGCGGCCGUAACUAUAACGGUCCUAAGGUAGCGAAAUUCCUUGUCGGGUAAGUUCCGACCUGCACGAAUGGUGAAAUGAUUUGGGAGCUGUCUUGGCUGGAGACCUGGUGAAGUUGUAAUGUCGGUGAAGAUACCGACUACCUGUAGUAGGACGGAAAGACCCGUGGAGCUUUACUGUAGUUUGGCAUUGGGUUUUGGUAAUGUGUGUAUAGAAUAGUUGGGAGACUGAGAUAUUAAGACGCUAGUUUAAAGGAGUCAAACUGUGGAAUACCAACCAUAUAUUAUUGAAAUUCUAAUCAAGAAAUUGAGACAGUGCUAGAUGGGCAGUUUGACUGGGGCGGUCGCCUCCUAAAGAGUAACGGAGGCGUUCAAAGGUUCCUCAGGUUGGAUGGAAAUCAACCAGAGAGUGUAAAGGUAUAAGGGAGCUUGACUGCGAGAUUGACAGAUCGAGCAGGUGCGAAAGCAGGACUUAGUGAUCCGGCGGUGCUGUAUGGAAAGGCCGUCGCUUAACGGAUAAAAGCUACCCCGGGGAUAACAGGCUGAUACUUCCCAAGAGUCCAUAUCGACGGAAGUGUUUGGCACCUCGAUGUCGGCUCGUCUCAUCCUGGGGCUGGAGAAGGUCCCAAGGGUUGGGCUGUUCGCCCAUUAAAGAGGCACGCGAGCUGGGUUCAGAACGUCGUGAGACAGUUCGGUCCCUAUCCACUACAGGCGUUAGAAUAUUGAAAAGAUCUGUCCCUAGUACGAGAGGACCAGGAUGGACAAACCUCUGAUGUAUCAGUUGUUACGCAGUAGCAUGGCUGAGUAGUUACGUUUGGAAGGGAUAAUCGCUGAAAGCAUCUAAGUGAGAAACCCACUUUGAGAUAAGUAUUCUUUUUUAAGUAUCCACUGAGACUAAGUGGUUGAUAGGUUGGGGGUGUAAGUGUAGUAAUACAUUUAGCUGACCAAUACUAAUAAUACGUAGGCUUUGUAUU
RNAcentral lists this ribosomal RNA (1071 nucleotides) under Streptobacillus moniliformis. RNAcentral describes it as "bacterial LSU rRNA". It matches the Rfam family "Bacterial large subunit ribosomal RNA", at positions 1820 to 2925 of the family's 2925-position model. The record is from RNAcentral. Lineage: Bacteria; Fusobacteriati; Fusobacteriota; Fusobacteriia; Fusobacteriales; Leptotrichiaceae.